GUCGGGAUAGCUCAGUUGGUAGAGCAGAGGACUGAAAAUUCUCGUGUC
RNAcentral lists this transfer RNA (48 nucleotides) under Orobanche minor. RNAcentral's name for it is "partial tRNA-Phe". It matches the Rfam family "tRNA", at positions 1 to 46 of the family's 71-position model. From Rfam's summary of the family: Transfer RNA (tRNA) molecules are approximately 80 nucleotides in length. RNAcentral also lists the same sequence under 1 other name. The record is from RNAcentral. Lineage: Eukaryota; Viridiplantae; Streptophyta; Magnoliopsida; Lamiales; Orobanchaceae.